RNAcentral lists this ribosomal RNA (274 nucleotides) under uncultured bacterium. RNAcentral's name for it is "partial 16S ribosomal RNA". It matches the Rfam family "Bacterial small subunit ribosomal RNA", at positions 523 to 796 of the family's 1533-position model. The record is from RNAcentral.
AUACAGAGGGUGCGAGCGUUAAUCGGAAUUACUGGGCGUAAAGCGUACGUAGGCGGUUCGUUAAGUUAGAUGUGAAAGCCCCGGGCUUAACCUGGGAACUGCAUUUAAAACUGGCGAACUAGAGUUGAGUAGAGGGGAGUGGAAUUUCAGGUGUAGCGGUGAAAUGCGUAGAGAUCUGAAGGAACACCAGUGGCGAAGGCGACUCCCUGGACUCGAACUGACGCUGAGGUACGAAAGCGUGGGUAGCAAACGGGAUUAGAAACCCCUGUAGUCC